GCCUUCGUGGUGUAAUGGUCAGCACACUCGGCGCGUAUUCGAGAGGUCCGAGGUUCGAGUCCCGGCGAGGAAA
This 73-nucleotide transfer RNA is filed under the name Stegodyphus mimosarum. It matches the Rfam family "tRNA". From Rfam's summary of the family: Transfer RNA (tRNA) molecules are approximately 80 nucleotides in length. Their secondary structure includes four short double-helical elements and three loops (D, anti-codon, and T loops). Further hydrogen bonds mediate the characteristic L-shaped molecular structure. tRNAs have two regions of fundamental functional importance: the anti-codon, which is responsible for specific mRNA codon recognition, and the 3' end, to which the tRNAs corresponding amino acid is attached (by aminoacyl-tRNA synthetases). tRNAs cope with the degeneracy of the genetic code in two manners: having more than one tRNA (with a specific anti-codon) for a particular amino acid; and 'wobble' base-pairing, i.e. permitting non-standard base-pairing at the 3rd anti-codon position. The record is from Rfam by way of RNAcentral. Lineage: Eukaryota; Metazoa; Arthropoda; Arachnida; Araneae; Eresidae.